GCAGUUGUGGCCUAAUGGUUAGAGCGUGGGACUUGUAACUCGAAGGUAAACCUGAAGGUCGUGGGUUCGAGUCUCGGGUCCGGCA
Molecule: non-coding RNA, 85 nt
Organism: Pangasius djambal
Lineage: Eukaryota; Metazoa; Chordata; Actinopteri; Siluriformes; Pangasiidae
Source: the annotation of a GenBank genome assembly